AUAAUAAAAAUACUCCGAGCCUGUAAGCCUACGUCAGAAGUUGACAUGGUUUAGUGGCCGAUUCCCUUGAAUGGGAAACUGUUCUCAAAGAGAACCGAAGGGUAGAGGAAGAAAUGACUCUGCCUCCCUUGUUUUGGAAAGGAGUAAGCUUGAGUCGUAA
RNAcentral lists this non-coding RNA (160 nucleotides) under Candidatus Omnitrophota bacterium. RNAcentral's name for it is "Omnitrophica WOR MoCo sequence". It matches the Rfam family "Molybdenum/Tungsten riboswitch aptamer (Moco RNA motif)". The record is from RNAcentral. Lineage: Bacteria; Pseudomonadati; Candidatus Omnitrophota.